AAGAGCCUUCCCCAGCCUAGUUGCCGCUGCCUCCCUCACGGAGUGACAUGGUGCUCGGGGCUCGUCCUGUCUUUCAUUCAAACCCCCUCCGCGCCGCGCCGCCGGUGGGAGGGACCUCGGCGCGCCGCUCCCCCGGGAGGGCCGGCACAGGCCCCGCCACCGCCCCGCGCCCCCGCCCCCCGCGGCCCGGAGCUGCCCUGGGACCCGGGGAUCGGGGGAUCCCCGCGCCGCGGCUGCGUGUCCGUGGGGUGGUUCGAUCGCGGCAGCCGAAGGUCGCGGAGCCGCGGCGCCGAACGGGGAGGGCGUCGUCCUGCCGCCGCCACCGCCACCCCCCUCCGCAUCCUCUCCUAAACGGCUCCGUGCCGUCACGCAGCACUUCCUCGAGAGGCCGGGGGGCGACCCGGGGCCAGACAUAUUAAACAUAUACUUUGUUACGGCGCUUAUAUAAGACUUGCUUAUUGAAAGUUGGAACAAAAUGGAGGAAGAGGGUAAAGAGGAAACUCCCCCCUCCCGACCCCGCGUGCCUCGGGAGCACACGGAGCUCAGAAGUUACCCGCAGGCCCCGCCGCCCCGCGGGACCCGCCGGACCGUGGGCGUGCACCCGGCGGGCGGCCCAGCCUGUUUCAUAUCCUCAGAAGCCUUGCAUAUGUUGAUUUGUUCUGUGAUGUGGAAGAGAAUGGAGUGACACAACUGACCAGUGGCAGCAUCCAAAGUCAUCAAAACUGGUGGUUAUCUGUCCUCACCACCAUCAUGACAGAGUGAAGGCC
Molecule: long non-coding RNA, 767 nt
Filed under: Gallus gallus (chicken)
Lineage: Eukaryota; Metazoa; Chordata; Aves; Galliformes; Phasianidae
Source: RNAcentral